GACGAACGCUGGCGGCGUGCUUAACACAUGCAAGUCGAACGGAAAGGCCCUGCUUUUGUGGGGUGCUCGAGUGGCGAACGGGUGAGUAACACGUGAGUAACCUGCCCUUGACUUUGGGAUAACUUCAGGAAACUGGGGCUAAUACCGGAUAGGAGCUCCUGCUGCAUGGUGGGGGUUGGAAAGUUUCGGCGGUUGGGUAUGGACUCGCGGCUUAUCAGCUUGUUGGUGGGGUAGUGGCUUACCAAGGCUUUGACGGGUAGCCGGCCUGAGAGGGUGACCGGCCCGAUUGGGACUGGGAUACGGCCCAGACUCCUACGGGAGGCAGCAGUGGGGAAUAUUGCACAAUGGGCGGAAGCCUGAUGCAGCAACGCCGCGUGCGGGAUGACGGCCUUCGGGUUGUAAACCGCUUUCGCCUGUGACGAAGCGUGAGUGACGGUAAUGGGUAAAGAAGCACCGGCUAACUACGUG
This 468-nucleotide ribosomal RNA is filed under the name uncultured bacterium. Its description in RNAcentral is "partial 16S ribosomal RNA". It matches the Rfam family "Bacterial small subunit ribosomal RNA", at positions 28 to 507 of the family's 1533-position model. The record is from RNAcentral.